This 125-nucleotide ribosomal RNA is filed under the name uncultured Actinomycetes bacterium. Lineage: Bacteria; Bacillati; Actinomycetota; Actinomycetes. The record is from RNAcentral.
ACGAAAUAGCGGGUCCAGGCUGGGUCGCCGUAUACGUAAAUUGACUUCAUCUCUUUUGCAGCGUCAGCAAGUGUCAGAGCGGUUGGGUGUUUUGCACCAUCCCACAACACCACCUGAGGGUUGAU